GCUCAGAAUGAACGCUGGCGGUGUGCCUAAUACAUGCAAGUCGAGCGAGAAAGUUUCUUCGGAAAUGAGUAAAGCGGCGGACGGGUGAGUAACACGUGAGUAUCUGCCUUUCAAUGAAGAAUACCCUCGAGAAAUCGAGUUUAAUACUGCAUACGUCCCUUCGGGGAGAAAGAUGGCUUUUAUGCUGUCGUUGAAAGAUGAGCUUGCGGCCUAUUAGCUAGUUGGUGAGGUAAAAGCUUACCAAGGCGACGAUGGGUAGCCGAUCUGAGAGGAUGACCGGCCACACUGGAACUGAGACACGGUCCAGACUCCUACGGGAGGCAGCAGUGAGGAAUAUUGCGCAAUGGGCGAAAGCCUGACGCAGCGACACCGCGUGAAGGAUGACAGUCUUCGGAUUGUAAACUUCUGUGAGAAGGAAAGAAAGUACCAGCUCUAAUAUAGCUGGGGGAUGACGUUACCUUUUUAGAAAGCACCGGCUAACUUCGUGCCAGCAGCCGCGGUAAUACGAGGGGUGCAAGCGUUAUUCGGAAUUACUGGGCGUAAAGGGUGUGUAGACGGUUUAUUAAGUUUGUUAUUUAAGACCUCGGCCUAACCGGGGAAAUGUGGCAAAUACUGAUAGACUAGAGGGUGGAAGAGAGAAGUGGAAUUCUUGGAGUAGCGGUAAAAUGCGUAGAUCUCAAGAGGAACACCGAUGGCGAAGGCAGCUUCUUGGUCCAUCUCUGACGUUGAAACACGAAAGCGUGGGGAGCAAACAGGAUUAGAUACCCUGGUAGUCCACGCUGUAAACGAUGAUCACUGGACGUCAGUUCUGCAUUGCAGGAUUGGUGUCGCAGCUAACGCGAUAAGUGAUCCGCCUGGGGAGUACAGUCGCAAGACUGAAACUCAAAGGAAUGAC
RNAcentral lists this ribosomal RNA (895 nucleotides) under uncultured bacterium. RNAcentral's name for it is "bacterial SSU rRNA". It matches the Rfam family "Bacterial small subunit ribosomal RNA", at positions 22 to 914 of the family's 1533-position model. The record is from RNAcentral.